UACGGGGGGGGCAAGCGUUGUUCGGAAUUACUGGGCGUAAAGGGCUCGUAGGCGGCCAACUAAGUCGGAUGUGAAAUCCCCAGGCUUAACCUGGGAACUGCAUCCGAUACUGGAUGGCUUGAAUCCGGGAGAGGGAUGCAGAAUUCCAGGUGUAGCGGUGAAAUGCGCAGAUAUCUGGAGGAAUACCGGUGGCGAAGGCGGCAUCCUGGACCGGCAUUGACGCUGAGGCGCGAAAGCCAGGGGAGCAAACGGG
RNAcentral lists this ribosomal RNA (253 nucleotides) under uncultured bacterium. RNAcentral describes it as "partial 16S ribosomal RNA". It matches the Rfam family "Bacterial small subunit ribosomal RNA", at positions 524 to 776 of the family's 1533-position model. The record is from RNAcentral.